AAAAGUCUUGUUAUGGUUCGCAUUAAUAGCUAUUGGAAUGUAAAGACAGGUAACAACAACAUGGGGGUCUCAAAAAUUCUCAAAAUUCGAAAAUGAUGGAAUCGGUGAACAAUACUGAUCCACUCACUAAACUUGGUCAGUAACCAAGCUUCCAAAUAAUUUUCCCACUAUGGUGUUCAAUAUGAUGCUUCUGUAAAAAUGAGCACCUCCAACAUAAGGAAAACUCACCAUUAUACCGAUUGUAACUCGCCAUUACUCCCUCACCAGAUGUGUUUGUCUUUCAUGUCCUUAUCUAUAUAAAUAUUUUUACUGUAUUUUUAGCAACACAGGACUUUAAUUUUAUCGAAUUUUCACCUACAUAUAUUUAGGAGAUUUUUAAUAAUGAGUCCAUAACUCUAGCACCUAAUCAGUUCCAAACAAGAUAUAAGCAGCUCACUCAGUCGUCUACAGUUAACAGGAG
Molecule: long non-coding RNA, 460 nt
Filed under: Amborella trichopoda
Lineage: Eukaryota; Viridiplantae; Streptophyta; Magnoliopsida; Amborellales; Amborellaceae
Description: long non-coding RNA (ATRI_LNC003319)
Source: RNAcentral